This is a long non-coding RNA of Drosophila nasuta, 370 nucleotides long. RefSeq lists it as uncharacterized. NCBI's taxonomy places the organism in Eukaryota, Metazoa, Arthropoda, Insecta, Diptera, Drosophilidae. The transcript has 2 exons. The record is from RefSeq and is a predicted model, not a curated record.
GUCUAAUACAAGACUAAUUUGUGUGUGUUGAAUAUUUAUACAAAAUAAUGUUCGUAUCGAACGUCAGUAUCAAAUUAUCUGCGAAACGAUGCGAACAUAUCUCAAGCUCUGCAUUUGGCUACUCUGCUUUAUAAUAUUCAUCACAUUUGGCGAUCACAGAAGCAAAAAAUGGAUUAAAAUAUUCGGCUCAACGCGACCACCGAACCCAGAUCGCUGAGUUGCUGUUGUCAUAAUGUAUUCCUGUAAAUAAACAAAAAUAAAAACAUCUGUUUUUAUAUAUAAUUUUUAUGAGAAAACAAGAAUUGAAAAAUUAGUUAAAAAUAAUAUAUGAACGUUAUGGAAUAAAUUAAAACAUUUGCACUGUGAAUUU